AUACACACACACAGCUAACAGUGUCGUUUGUAGAAACUCCUCAACAAGUUUAACGGAAUUCUUUGCUUUAAAGUCUGAAAAUUAAAAAAACACCAGAAUUAAAAGUGCAGCAUUUACGAUUUAUGACAUUAUUGUCUCUCAUCAGAUCAUGUUUGAUUUUUCACUUUUUCACUGCUGUUGCAAUAUUAUUGAAACCAACCAACCUGUAAUCCCAGUAAUAAAAACACUCGCAAAGUUCAACAUAUUUUAUUUUAUCUACAGUAUGAAAAAAAAAUAAAUGUGAAAAUGUACUUGUGUAACUCCAUUAUCAAUUAAAUGUUUAACCGUGACUUGAAAUACCACAGGAGUCCACGGCCCACGACUGUUAGCGUCCGUUCCCGUGUGAACGUGAACGCUGCCCACCUGAAAUCGCCUCGGCGUUGCAUUCUGAACAAGUGGAUUGCUCGAUAUGACAUAUUCAUUUCACAAAAGAGGUUAAGCACAGAAAAACUGCGGGGUGCCAUGGUGCACAUGAAAUGGCAAAAAAAAAAAAAUACUAUGGUGCUGAGCGCCUUUCAAAAUAAAAUGAAAAUAAAUUUAAGGAGAUACAUUUUCAUCUCAUCUUCACAGAGGGAAACAGAGAGCCAGGGCUGCCUCAAAAAUAAAUGAAUGCCUAACAAUGUUUUUGAUGUCCUAUAUUUAAAUUUGUACGGUUACUUACAUUACUCCUACUUGCCUGGUCUUGGAACUAAUCCGAUUGAUAUGGAAAUGGGGUGCUCUGUUUCAUGACAGAGUUGGGGAGAGAGGGAGAGAGAGAGAAUUCCCAGGUUCGCUCCUACUCAAAAUGUGCUGAAAACAGAUUUUCACAAUCCUGUGGCUUCAUGGUAUAGGUUAUAGGGGAUUACACAAACCACUUAAAGCUCUACAAUGAGCUGCUCUUUUCAACCAAGAGGAAAAAACAAAAAAAGCACUUCAUGCUGGACAAAUUGUCCACACUGAAGAGGAACGAAUUAAAUAAAUAUUGUCAUUGUUUUGGGAUCCAUCCUUUGUCUUAUUUUUAAUUUUACAGAUUUUCUCAAGGGAAAGGCUUCCAAGUUAUUUUGCGAUAGUAAUAAAAUAAUCAGAAGAACUUUAUUGUUUAAAGAAAAC
This is a long non-coding RNA of Astatotilapia calliptera (eastern happy), 1128 nucleotides long. The record is from Ensembl. NCBI's taxonomy places the organism in Eukaryota, Metazoa, Chordata, Actinopteri, Cichliformes, Cichlidae.